GAUGAACGCUAGCGGCAGGCUUAAUACAUGCAAGUCGUGGGGCAGCAGGGGUAGCAAUACCCGCUGGCGACCGGCAAACGGGUGCGGAACACGUACGCAACCUUCCUUUAACUGGAGAAUAGCCCCUCGAAAGAGGGAUUAAUACUCCGUAACAUAUAGAUGUGGCAUCACAAUUAUAUUAUAGCUCCGGCGGUUAAAGAUGGGCGUGCGCCUGAUUAGAUAGUUGGCAGGGUAACGGCCUACCAAGUCUGCGAUCAGUAACUGGUGUGAGAGCACGACCAGUCACACGGGCACUGAGACACGGGCCCGACUCCUACGGGAGGCAGCAGUAAGGAAUAUUGGUCAAAUGGACGCAAGUCUGAACCAGCCAUGCCGCGUGGAGGAUUAAGGGCCCUCUGGGUUGUAAACUCCUUUUANCUGGGAANAAAUGCUAUUUUUCAAAGUGCUUGACGUACCAGAGGAAUAAGCACCGGCUAACUCCGUGCCAGCCGCCGACCGU
RNAcentral lists this ribosomal RNA (499 nucleotides) under uncultured bacterium. Its description in RNAcentral is "bacterial SSU rRNA". It matches the Rfam family "Bacterial small subunit ribosomal RNA", at positions 28 to 521 of the family's 1533-position model. The record is from RNAcentral.